RNAcentral lists this ribosomal RNA (296 nucleotides) under uncultured bacterium. RNAcentral's name for it is "partial 16S ribosomal RNA". It matches the Rfam family "Bacterial small subunit ribosomal RNA", at positions 335 to 647 of the family's 1533-position model. The record is from RNAcentral.
AUACCUACGGGGCGCAGCAGUGGGGGAUAUUGCACAAUGGGGGGAACCCUGAUGCAGCGACGCCGCGUGGGUGAAGAAGCGCCCCGGCGCGUAAAGCCCUGUCAGCAGGGAAGAAGAAGGACGGUACCUGACCAAGAAGCCCCGGCUAACUACGUGCCAGCAGCCGCGGUAAUACGCAGGGGGCAAGCGUUAUCCGGAUUUACUGGGUGUAAAGGUGGCGCAGACGGCGAGGCAAGCCGGGAGUGAAAGCCCGGGGCCCAACCCCGCGACUGCUCUUGGAGCUGCGUGGCUGGAGU